Long non-coding RNA from Triticum aestivum (bread wheat), 3304 nucleotides. RefSeq lists it as uncharacterized. NCBI's taxonomy places the organism in Eukaryota, Viridiplantae, Streptophyta, Magnoliopsida, Poales, Poaceae. The record is from RefSeq and is a predicted model, not a curated record. The transcript is spliced from 8 exons.
CCGUCUAGGUUUUCUCUCCUCAGCAUGCAUCCCGAUCCCGUGUGCCCAUUAUCUUCUUCCUCACCUCUUUCCCUUGACCUCUUCUUUCCUCUUCCUCUCCAAAAAAAAGAAGGUCAAGGAUCUUGGCAUCUCAAUUCUCAUGCCAUGGAUCGAGCCAUCUGGAUGGUUUCCCUCUACCGACCUGAAAGAUGGCACAUCUUUUCUGCAUGGCUUCGAGGCCUAUCGAAGCUCCGGCGGCCGCAGUCGAUGAUGACCAACACGGCGACGGCCAAACCUCUCUUCUUGAUUGGAUUUCUUGUUCCGCGGUGUCAAGAGGCCGGCUGAUACUAAUUCAACUUAUCCUCUUGUUCGGUAGGAUCUCCUAGCGGACGGCUCUAUGCAUACCUCGUGUCGUGUUCAUUGUGUAAACACAGAUCGAUCUGACCUGAUAAUUGGCUGCUUAUGCCCGGUGUUUACAUGAUCUCUUUCUUGUGGUUUCUAUGUUCUGGUUUGAUCUCUUACUGGAUCUGAAUCUCUUCGCCGUAUUGAAGAAAAACCGAUGCGCCUGAAGAUCCCGUACGUUUCUAAAGUGGGAACGGAACGGGAAGUCUGAACCUCCGCAUCUUGCGUACGUUUUCCGUCUUCUUCCUUGGGGCUCUCCGCGUGCAGAUCGAGUGUGAAUUCGACUGCUACUCCUUCUUUGUUGUUUGUAGAAUCGGUUCAGGGUUUCGGUGUCGAUCCAUAACCCUAUCUGCAGCCUUGGAUCUACCGGUGCAGUUAUCUGCUACAGCCUGUCUCUACACCGGUGCUACUUUUGAGAAGUUGCGACUUAUUCACUACUACUUUUCUCUGGGCAAUUGUCACAUCUAACUGCGGUAGGGAUUGCCUCGACAGGCAUUGACACGUUUUGGUAGAUUGUCUGUAGCAAUGAUAAAUUUUUCAGGCAGGAAUUCUCUACUGUAUUCAUUAGGAAGAAAGUUUUUCUUUUACAAAUGCCUGUUUUUGUUUGUGUGGACAAACAGGCAAAGACCUCUUAUAAGGUUAUGGAUCAUCGGGCAGAUCCUGUUUUCGGACUCGAUUUUAGUUGGGUGGGCUGGACUUAGUCACAGCGGUGACCUUGGUGUCUCGGCGAUGGAGACGCUCGUGGGUGCUGCAUUCCUCUUGAGGACGCUGUUGCGGUUCUCCUCCCAACACCAAAGCUUCGGGUGAAAACCAUCGUCUGUUCGGACUCGAUGGCGGCAUCGCUUUGCGUUAUCACCCUCCUGGGGGCGUUUUGAGGGAGUCCUAGCGCUGUUGGUCGGUUUGUGGCUAUGUGUUCAGGCCACCCUUGUUUUUCUCGAUUGUUUUUUGAUCUUGCUUUGUUUGGGGAGGCGAAAGCCUGUUUCGAGGAGAUUCUUGUGUUUUCCACUUCAAACAACUCUGUAUGGACAACAAACUACUGUUGCUUGAUGUCUUUGGUUGAUUCUGGUUCUGGGGUGUGCAGCCAUGACCUACUCAUGUAAUUGUCUUUGACUCUGCCCUUUACCUUCUUUUCCCUUUGCUGUUGUUUGUAGGAUUUGCUCUCUGAAUUUGCCUGUUAAUGGACGGAUUUUCUUGUUGAAUGGUGUACUACCUUUUCCAGAGCCAACCGAUGCUCUCUCGCUUGAAAAUAUAGCGUGAUGAACAUGUAAACACCUUCGCUCGAAAAAUAUUGGCUUGGUUGUGAAUUGAAUUUCCUCGGUAUUCUCUCCUGCUUUGUAGUGCAUUUUAUCUUUCGUGUUUGAUGACAAAAUCUACAUAUAUUUGCUUAUAGUUAUGUUUGAUAACGAUUCUUCUAUCCUACGUUUUCCAUUUCACUGUAAUGAACCAGCCUGUUUAUGUUCUGCAGCUCGAUGGCCAGCUAGUCUCCUCUCAUGAUGGAAUCACUGUUGAAUUUCCCUGUAGUAAUGCUAUGUGCUGAUUAAUCUCAAAUACUGUUAUGCUAUAAUUUUGUGUUAUGUCCAUUCAAGAGAGGCCUGACUUUGCUUGUUUGGAUAUUACAGGAGGGCAUUGAUAAAGGAAAAAAUUGAGAAAACUUGGAACUCGUGGUUCUUACAGGCUGAGGGAACCUGAUAAGUUCAAGGGCCAUUUGGAGUUUGCUCUAAAGUUAAAGUGGCUCGACAUUGAGAGCAUCCAGCAGUCCGUACACGGUGUGGUGAUCUGUGCUCCCAUGACUGCCUUCUGGGCUACAACUAAGCUGUGAGGAAUUUGAUCGCUACAGUGAUACUACUGGUGCUGUUCUUUUUUUAUUAUUCAAGACAAGUGACAAACCCAAUCAUUAAGAAGAAAGCAAAUCUUUACAAAUGCAUGUUCUUGUUUCUGUGGACAAAUGGGCAAAGACCUCUUCGCGACACACGGACUAGUCCUAAAAUGAGGAAAGACGGGCGAAUGCUAUACCUGGCGCCACUUGGUUGCUUCUCAGUCGACACACAAUUGAUUUUAGUCCCACAGGCAGAUUCCAGCCUAACCACCCAAAACGCCAGGAUCUCCUCGCCGCCGGCUGUGUACACCAUGUCCGAUUCAACCUUGUUUGCCCAUGUUUACUAUGUGGUGUUCAUCGUGUAAACACGGAUCGUUCAGAGCUGAUAAUGAACUGAUUAUGCCCGCUGCUAGAAUGAGGUCGGCAGCCAAUGACAAAGCUGAGGCUGAGAAGAUACUAAACAUGAAAAGAGCAGAAGGAGGAGAAGGUGAGUCCAGGUACUCGGCUAGUGUGGGCAUUGCAAGGCAGCGUCAGGCUAUCGUGGAUGGUCCGAGAGAUGUGUCCUCACUUUCUUGGAGAACGUCCCUGGUACCACUGCAAAGGACAUCAUGGGCAUGGUUCUGGUCACCCAAUACUUUGACACCAUCAAAGAGAUUGGCGCCGCAUCCAAUUCCUAUUCAGUUUUCAUCCCCCAUGGUCCUGGAGCUGUCAAGGAUGUUGUAUCGUAGAUAAUAGAUGGGCUCCUACAGGUCCACUGAAUAACUUGAACCCAGGAAACAAGCCUGCUACAACAAUCGCCAUAGCAGAUUCCAGACUAGACACCCAAAACGCAGAAAGAAAAUGCGGAAAUAAGAUUGAUAAUGCUGGAAGAUUUGCGCAGGUGACUUCAGUAGUGUUACUUAGUCUUCUACCUGUGAUCACAAGAAAAGGAACAACGUGGAUUUUAGUCCAUCUACCUUUGUGCUGACUAACUGUAACCUAGGAAACAACCAACGGACAUGGCAGAUACAAGAAAAGACCCAAAAUGACAAAUGAACUUUCUGAAGCCUUUGUAUUUCGUGUAAAUACAAUGUUUAACAAAUUAAGAAUCAUGGUUUUUUUAGAUAA